UACGUAGGGUGCAAGCGUUGUCCGGAAUUAUUGGGCGUAAAGAGCUCGUAGGCGGUUUGUCGCGUCUGCUGUGAAAACGCGAGGCUCAACCUCGCGCCUGCAGUGGGGUACGGGCAGACUAGAGUGCGGUAGGGGGAGAUUGGAAAUUCCUGGUGUAGCGGUGGAAAUGCGCAGAUAUCAGGAGGAACACCGAUGGCGAAGGCAGAUCUCUGGGGCCGUAAACUGACGCUGAGGAGCGAAAGCGUGGGGAGCGAACAGG
Molecule: ribosomal RNA, 259 nt
Filed under: uncultured bacterium
Lineage: Bacteria
Description: partial 16S ribosomal RNA
Rfam family: Bacterial small subunit ribosomal RNA
Source: RNAcentral